This 308-nucleotide unclassified non-coding RNA is filed under the name plant metagenome. Its description in RNAcentral is "partial contains 5.8S ribosomal RNA, internal transcribed spacer 2, and large subunit ribosomal RNA". The stretch from base 1 to 105 matches the Rfam family "5.8S ribosomal RNA", at positions 50 to 154 of the family's 154-position model. The record is from RNAcentral.
GAAAUGCUAUAAGUAAUGUGAAUUGCAGAAUUCAGUGAAUCAUCGAAUCUUUGAACGCACAUUGCGCCCCUUGGUAUUCCGGGGGGCAUGCCUGUUCGAGCGUCAUUACAACCCUCAAGCUCUGCUUGGAAUUGGGCACCGUCCUCACUGCGGACGCGCCUCAAAGACCUCGGCGGUGGCUGUUCGGCCCUCAAGCGUAGUAGAAUACACCUCGCUUUGGAGUGGUUGGCGUCGCCCGCCGGACGAACCUUCUGAACUUUUCUCAAGGUUGACCUCGGAUCAGGUAGGGAUACCCGCUGAACUUAAGC